CUUACCAAGGCGAUGAUGCAUAGCCCGAGUUGAGAGACUGAUCGGGCCACAUUGGGGACUGAGACACGGGGCCCAAACUCCUACGGGGGGAGGGGCAGCAGUAGGGGGAAUCUUCCACAAUGGACGCAAGUCUGAUGGAGCAACGCCGCGUGAGUGAAGUAAGGUUUUCGGAUACGUAAAGCUCUGUUGUUGGUGAAGAAGGAUAGAGGUAGUAACUGGUCCUUUAUUUGACGGUAAUCAACCAGAAAGUCACGGCUAACUACGUGCCAGCAGCCGCGGUAAU
RNAcentral lists this ribosomal RNA (283 nucleotides) under uncultured Lactobacillus sp. Its description in RNAcentral is "partial 16S ribosomal RNA". It matches the Rfam family "Bacterial small subunit ribosomal RNA", at positions 264 to 524 of the family's 1533-position model. The record is from RNAcentral. Lineage: Bacteria; Bacillati; Bacillota; Bacilli; Lactobacillales; Lactobacillaceae.